UACGGAGGGUGCGAGCGUUGUCCGGAAUCACUGGGCGUAAAGGGCGCGUAGGCGGCGCGGGUAGUCAACGGUGAAAGCUUGGGGCUCAACCCCGAGUCGGCCGUCGAUACUCCCGUGCUUGAGCACUGUAGAGGCAGGUGGAAUUCCGGGUGUAGCGGUGGAAUGCGUAGAGAUCCGGAAGAACACCGGUGGCGAAGGCGGCCUGCUGGGCAGUAGCUGACGCUGAGGCGCGACAGCGUGGGGAGCAAACGGG
RNAcentral lists this ribosomal RNA (253 nucleotides) under uncultured bacterium. RNAcentral's name for it is "partial 16S ribosomal RNA". It matches the Rfam family "Bacterial small subunit ribosomal RNA", at positions 524 to 776 of the family's 1533-position model. The record is from RNAcentral.